This 232-nucleotide transfer-messenger RNA is filed under the name Francisella tularensis subsp. holarctica. Its description in RNAcentral is "partial transfer-messenger RNA". It matches the Rfam family "transfer-messenger RNA", at positions 140 to 374 of the family's 374-position model. From Rfam's summary of the family: Bacterial tmRNA, also known as 10Sa RNA or SsrA, is named for its dual tRNA and mRNA-like properties. Its role is to liberate the mRNA from a stalled ribosome. The record is from RNAcentral. Lineage: Bacteria; Pseudomonadati; Pseudomonadota; Gammaproteobacteria; Thiotrichales; Francisellaceae.
CGCACGGAUAUGAUAGUCUUUCUUAUGACACUAUCUAUACAUCCGUUCAUAUUCCGCAUAAGACGGUCUUUGCUUUUUGUCUGGGAGUUAAGGCUGUAUUUAACAGACUCGCUAACUAUUACCCUGGCUAAUUGGGGAAUAGUCAAGCUAAACUCAAAUAGAUUAGCCUAAGCAUGUAGAUCCAAAGAUCUAGAGUUUGUGGACGCGGGUUCAAAUCCCGCCGCCUCCACCA